GCCCCCUACUCCCUGUCUUUGCCUCCCAAUUUGGAUGUCUAGAUGGAAUUUCAUGUCUGAUGUUCCUGUAGAAACUUCUAGUACUGAUCAGGGCAUUUGUUAAACUCAUAGAUAAAUACCCCUACUAGACUAUAAGUUCCCUGAGGUCAGGAUUCUUAUCUUGUUUACAUCUGUAACCACAUUGCCCAAUAUUCUAGUUGCCAGACAAAAUACAGGACACCCAGUUAUAGUGAAUUUCAAAGAACACAUAACUUUUUAGUAUAAAUAUGUACCAAAUAUUGCAUGAGAGUGUAAUUUGCCCAAGUCAGGAAGUGAAUGCCAGGAAUAGUCAUACAAGAAAUUUUUUGUCUUUUGAGGCCAGCCCCGUGGGGUAUUGGUUGACUUCAGCAUGCUCUGUUUCAGCAGCCCAGUUUGCAGGUUCGGAUCCCGGGCACAGACCUACACCACUCAGCCAUACUGUAGCGGCAACCCACAUACAAAGUAGAGGAAGGUUGGCACAGAGGUUAGCUCAGGACUAGUCUUCCUCAAGCAAAAAACGAGGAAGACUAGCAACAGAUAUUAGCUCAGGGCCAAUCUUCCUCAGCAAAAAGGGAAAAAAGUCUUUGUUGACAUUUACAUGUAACUGGGAGUCUUGCAUUUUUAUUGGUUAAGUUGGGAAACCCUGCUCAAUAUAUACUAGCAGAAUACACGUUCUGAACAUCGGCUAUGUACCAGGCAACUCACACCUUCUGCUUAAAUAAUUAUUUGUGCAGUUACUUGUUUUAAUGUUUCUCUCCCAUGCUCUUAAGGGCAAAGAUUAUGCCUGUUUUGUGCACCACUGCCCUCCAUACUUUACCCCACGUAGACUCAAUAGAUAUUCCUAGAAUUGAAAGGGAACUGAAAGGGGCCCUUUUACAAUGGUGCUGCCUUUCCGUGGCAAUCUCCAGCUGGAAUCAGGGGCCUGCACAGUGAUAAGGAAACCUGAAGGGGGCGGUGUCUCCUCAGGCUCCGGCUGCCUGCUGUCCAUCACUACUCCUGACGCUCAGGCGGGUCCUCAAACUCCAAGCCUGGGAGGUGGGGCUUGCCCGACAGAGGGGCAAGACUCAGGCAGGCAGGCGAGAUGCCAGAUGGGCACUUGACCCGCCCAGGCCCUCGACGAGGCCCCUGGGUGCUCUUGCCUUUAUUCCUCUCUUGUCCUCUGGCCUUCUACGGUGUCUGCUGAAUGUCCCGUGUGAGGCUCAGGUGACAAGGAUGACAAGAAUGACAAGGAUGGUGAUCAUUCACCUCCCCGGUUCCUCACACAGUCUCUGCCCUCAAACAGUCUUGGUUCAGUCCUCCGUCCUGUAGCUCCUGAGAGGAGAUCAAAGCAGGCAUUCAGGUUACUCCCGGAAAAGUCCAUCUCAUUGAAUCCUCUUAACCAGCCCUCGGGAGGGGCACCAAUGGCAUUUCCUUACACAGAUGAGGGAGUGGAGGCCAGAGAGGGUGAGAAAUUUGUCCAAGCCAUAGAGGUGUGAUUAGACACACCCCAUCCAGCUGGUCCCCAGCACACUGCACAGUCCCCUAUUCCCAGCAUCCACAGUGCUCACUGUGUGACCUUGGACAAGUUAUUCUCAUUUCUGUGCCUUGGUUUGCUCAUCUGUAAAAUGGGUUUAAUAAAAGUGUCUUCCUCAUAGAGUUGUAGGAAUCUAGUGAAACGAUCCAUGUAAAGAAUGGCCUGGCACAAAAUAAGUGCUUCAUAAAUGUGAGCUACCAAUGUCACUACUGUGUUUCUCAUGUGAUCCUGAGCCGCCCACUUCCCGGCCUCACCCACGCAGCCAGCAGCGCGAUGUUUGAUGACUACACACUGCUGUUAAGUCAGCUGUUUCCCAAACUCGGCCUGAAGAUGUGAAUUACCUGGAGGCACUUGCUACAAAAUCGAUUCUCGGGCACCUCCCUGGAGAUUCUGAUUGGCAGCCCAAUGUUUCGUUGGUUCGAAUCCUGGGCGCAGACAUGGCACUGCUCAUCAGACCACGCUGAGGCAGCGUCCCACCUACCACAACUAGAAGGACCCACAACGAAGAAUAUACAACUAUGUACUGGGGGGCUUUGGGGAGAAAAGGAAAAAAAAUCUUAAAAAAAUAAUAAAAAAUAAAUAAGGGCAGAAAAAUAUGAAGAAGAAAGGGGAAGCCAGUCCUCUUCCCACCUCACAGCUUGAUGACCAUUUCUGUCAACAGUGGAUACUCACACGGCCUCAGGUUACCAUAUUUUUGGUUGAAACUUAAAAGGGGAAAGACUUUCCUUCCUGUCUGUAACCUGCGUCUUUCACUCCAUGACACAUCCAUCAACAUCUUUCCAUGUCAAUACGAUGUUAUUUUUAACAGCUGCGUGAUGCUCCGGCUGAGGAUGGACUGUACUGUAUUUAUCAUUGGGUGUUCAGGUUGUUUCCAGUUCGACUCUGUUAUAGACAGUGCCAGAGUGAGCAUCUUACAGAUACAUCUUUGCCUGCUUAUCUGAGUAUUUUAUAUGCAGAGCUGCUGGGUCAAAUGGAGAGAAGUUGGGAGACAAAUAGGAAGAAAGACUGAGACAGACAGGCAGAGUCUGGGGGGACAGACAUACCCAAGGAGAGACAGUAAGAGAGAGAGUCACAAAGAUACGCAGAGAGACAGAAUGAGGGAAAGAGGUGGAGAGAGACAAGGAGAGCAGGGGGAGGGAGAGCGAGGGAGAGACAAGCUUGCGGCUCUCCAGGGAGACGUGGAGGGAACUUGUCUGAGGGCCCAGCAGCCUGCCAGGGAAUCCAAGCCAAGAAGUGACUAAGCAACUUUGAGGAACACACCCUACAGAUAGAAUUGUGGAUGAGGUCAGAGUCCAGUGCAAGGAUUUUCAGGGCACUAUUGUUCCUGAAAAGCAAAAGAUGAGAAGCAACCUAAUUGCCCAUCAACAGGGGACUGGGUGUAGAUUGUGCUGCAGAUGCCGAUAGGAGCCCAUCUCCCAGCAGGGCUGCAGAGUCAGCACAUGGAAGCGCAGGAGGCCCAGUGACGCCGGAACUUCUGUUAAAGUCAAGUCUGCCCCAUGCGUUGUUAGACUAAAUGCUUAUUUGGCGUUUAUCUGAACUUCCAAUUUAAUUGGGCAUCUGUAUUUUAUCCGGCAAGCCUAUCUCCAAGAUGAGUGAGAACAGCAUAGAGGACGUGUGUGUGUCCAUGUGCCCACGAGGAGGGCUUCUGAGGUGGCUCUCGAGGCUCCAGCUCCUGACCUGGGUGGUGGUUGUAGCUGAGAGGAAGGGACUUACAGGGUCACACAACACGGGGGUAGGGCUAGGCUGGACCCCAGCUUUGUGCUCUGUGGCAAUUUGUGUAUAUGUCUUAAAAGUGUUAAUGUGUUAAAUAAAAAUAUUUUAAAAAACAGACACGAUUUUCUAAACUCUGUUUGAACUUUUCUGAUGUAGAAACACACUGAUAGCCUCAAAAAUUCUGAGGGGCCUGGGGCUCUCAGUCCGGAGCCUCGGCCUUCCUGAACUGCUUUCACAUCCUGGACACUCAUCUGCCCCUGGGUGUCUUAAUCCUG
Long non-coding RNA from Equus asinus (donkey), 3519 nucleotides. The record is from Ensembl. NCBI's taxonomy places the organism in Eukaryota, Metazoa, Chordata, Mammalia, Perissodactyla, Equidae.